RNAcentral lists this ribosomal RNA (1306 nucleotides) under metagenome. RNAcentral's name for it is "bacterial LSU rRNA". It matches the Rfam family "Bacterial large subunit ribosomal RNA", at positions 1593 to 2925 of the family's 2925-position model. The record is from RNAcentral.
CAUGUGAGCCAUGUGCCAAGAAAAGCCGCUAUAGAUCAUACCGUACCCGUACCGUAAACCGACACAGGUAGAUGAGGAGAGAAUCCUAAGGCCGACGGGAGAAGCAUUGUUAAGGAACUCGGCAAAAUGACCCCGUAACUUCGGGAGAAGGGGUGCCCACGCGAGUGGGCCGCAGAGAAUAGGCUCAAGCAACUGUUUAGCAAAAACACAGGUCUAUGCGAAACCGAAAGGUGAGGUAUAUGGGCUGACGCCUGCCCGGUGCUGGAAGGUUAAGAGGAGGAGUCAGGCAACGAAGCUCCGAAUUUAAGCCCCAGUAAACGGCGGCCGUAACGAUAACGGUCCUAAGGUAGCGAAAUUCCUUGUCGGGUAAGUUCCGACCCGCACGAAAGGCGUAAUGAUUUGAGCACUGUCUCGACAAUGCACCCGGUGAAAUUGAAGUACCAGUGAAGAUGCUGGUUACCUGCGCCAGGACGGAAAGACCCCAUGGAGCUUUACUCCAGUUUGAUACUGGGAUUCGAUACUGAAUGUACAGGAUAGGUGGGAGGCUGAGAAGCGUGGACGCCAGUCUGCGGUGAGCCGCUGUUGGGAUACCACCCUUUGAGUAUUGGAUUUCUAACCUGCGCCCGUGACCCGGGCGGGGGACAAUGUCUGACGGGGAGUUUGACUGGGGCGGUCGCCUCCGAAAGGGUAUCGGAGGCGCUCAAAGGUUCCCUCAGAAUGGUUGGAAACCAUUCGCAGAGUGCAAAGGCAGAAGGGAGCUUGACUGUGACACCGACGGGUGGAGCAGGUACGAAAGUAGGACUUAGUGAUCCGGUGGUAUGAAAGUGGGAUUGCCAUCGCUCAACGGAUAAAAGCUACCCUGGGAUAACAGGCUUAUCACUCCCAAGAGUUCACAUCGACGGAGUGGUUUGGCACCUCGAUGUCGGCUCAUCGCAUCCUGGGGCUGUAGCAGGUCCCAAGGGUUGGGCUGUUCGCCCAUUAAAGCGGUACGCGUGCUGGGUUCAGAACGUCGUGAGACAGUUCGGUCCCUAUCCGGCGCAGGCGUAGGAUAUUUGAGAGGAGCUGUCCUUAGUACGAGAGGACCGGGAUGGACAGACCGCUGGUGUAUCUGUUGGUGACCAACACCAUGGCAGAGUAGCCAAGUCUGGCAGGGAUAAACGCUGAAGGCAUCUAAGCGUGAAGCCCCCCUCAAGAUGAGAUAUCCCAAUAAGUAAGACCCCUUAGAGAGUAUGAGGUAGAUAGGCUUAAGGUGUAAGCAUAGUAAUAUGUUCAGCUGAUAAGUACUAAUAGGUCGAGGGCUUACCAA